Molecule: unclassified non-coding RNA, 221 nt
Filed under: soil metagenome
Description: partial contains 5.8S ribosomal RNA, internal transcribed spacer 2, and large subunit ribosomal RNA
Source: RNAcentral
AACGCACGAGACCUGCGGACCUGCGGAAGGAUCAUUACAGAGUUGCAAAACUCCCUAACCCUUGUGAACAUACCUGUACGUCGUUGCUUCGGCGGGUAGCCCCUUUACGGGGCCUCGACCUCCCAGCGAGGUUGCCCGCCGGAGGACCACACAAAACUCUUGAAUUAAUGGCUUCUCUGAGUAUUAAUCAAAUAAGUUAAAACUUUCAACAACGGAUCUCU